AGCGAACGCUGGCGGCAGGCCUAACACAUGCAAGUCGAACGAACCUUUCGGGGUUAGUGGCGGACGGGUGAGUAACACGUGGGAACGUGCCUUUAGGUUCGGAAUAACUCAGGGAAACUUGUGCUAAUACCGAAUGUGCCCUUCGGGGGAAAGAUUAAUCGCCUUUAGAGCGGCCCGCGUCCGAUUAGCUAGUUGGUUGAGGUAAUGGCUCACCAAGGCGACGAUCAGUAGCUGGUCUGAGAGGAUGAUCAGCCACAUUGGGACUGAGACACGGCCGAAACUCCUACGGGAGGCAGCAGUGGGGAAUCUUGCGCAAUGGGCGAAAGCCUGACGCAGCCAUGCCGCGUGAAUGAUGAAGGUCUUAGGAUUGUAAAAUUCUUUCACCGGGGACGAUAAUGACGGUACCCGGAGAAGAAGCCCCGGCUAACUUCGUG
This 434-nucleotide ribosomal RNA is filed under the name uncultured bacterium. RNAcentral describes it as "partial 16S ribosomal RNA". It matches the Rfam family "Bacterial small subunit ribosomal RNA", at positions 29 to 507 of the family's 1533-position model. The record is from RNAcentral.